GAUGAAGAACGCAGCGAACUGCGAUAAGUAAUGCGAAUUGCAGAAUUCAGUGAAUCAUCGAGUCUUUGAACGCACAUUGCGCCCCCUGGCAUUCCGGGGGGCAUGCCUGUCCGAGCGUCAUUACUGCCCCUCAAGCACGGCUUGUGUGUUGGGCCCCGUCCUCCGAUCCCGGGGGACGGGCCCGAAAGGCAGCGGCGGCACCGCGUCCGGUCCUCGAGCGUAUGGGGCUUUGUCACCCGCUCUGUAGGCCCGGCCGGCGCUUGCCGAUCAACCCAAAUUUUUAUCCAGGUUGACCUCGGAUCAGGUAGGGAUACCCGCUGAACUUAAGCAUAUCAAUAAGCGGAGGA
Molecule: unclassified non-coding RNA, 347 nt
Filed under: soil metagenome
Description: partial contains 5.8S ribosomal RNA, internal transcribed spacer 2, and large subunit ribosomal RNA
Rfam family: 5.8S ribosomal RNA (bases 1-120)
Source: RNAcentral